UAAUGACUCUCGGCAACGGAUAUCUCGGCUCUUGCAUCGAUGAAGAACGUAGCGAAAUGCGAUACUUGGUGUGAAUUGCAGAAUCCCGUGAACCAUCGAGUCUUUGAACGCAAGUUGCGCCCGAGGCCAUUUAGGUUGAGGGCACGUCUGCCUGGGCGUCACAC
This 164-nucleotide ribosomal RNA is filed under the name Actaea cordifolia. RNAcentral describes it as "5.8S ribosomal RNA". It matches the Rfam family "5.8S ribosomal RNA". From Rfam's summary of the family: 5.8S ribosomal RNA (5.8S rRNA) is a component of the large subunit of the eukaryotic ribosome. It is transcribed by RNA polymerase I as part of the 45S precursor that also contains 18S and 28S rRNA. Lineage: Eukaryota; Viridiplantae; Streptophyta; Magnoliopsida; Ranunculales; Ranunculaceae. The record is from RNAcentral.